Molecule: ribosomal RNA, 206 nt
Filed under: uncultured bacterium
Lineage: Bacteria
Description: partial 16S ribosomal RNA
Rfam family: Bacterial small subunit ribosomal RNA
Source: RNAcentral
CAUGUAGGUGGGCUUUUAAGUCCGAUGUGAAAAUGCGGGGCUCAACCCCGUAUGGCAUUGGAUACUGGAAGUCUUGAGUGCAGGAGAGGAAAGGGGAAUUCCCAGUGUAGCGGUGAAAUGCGUAGAUAUUGGGAGGAACACCAGUGGCGAAGGCGCCUUUCUGGACUGUGUCUGACACUGAGAUGCGAAAGCUAGGGUAGCAAACG